This is a long non-coding RNA of Daphnia carinata, 2695 nucleotides long. RefSeq lists it as uncharacterized. The record is from RefSeq and is a predicted model, not a curated record. The transcript has 10 exons. Lineage: Eukaryota; Metazoa; Arthropoda; Branchiopoda; Diplostraca; Daphniidae.
ACAAGAGGCGCCUUAACCGUGGCUCGUCGGACAGUUUUUUUUUCAGGCAUAUUUCUAGAUUGGCUUAACGCGUGCAGUCUGCUGUCUGCACGCGUAUAUGUAGGGAACGCUUUAACAAUUUUGCUAAAGUUGUCCUCCAGGUUACAGGAAAAGAUGUUCCUCAAUACAUAACAUCAUUCUAAAAAGCAGGCCUGCGCCCAGUACUACUUCGAAACAUUAAAAAUUCUGGCUAUAUAAAACCAACACCUUUUCAGAAAGCUUCAGUUGCAGGCGGCGUACUUGGUACUGGUUAUGAAGAUAUUGUUAGAACAAGGUGUUGCUGGUGCAUCUCAUCCCAUGGUUCAAAAGACAGAGGUUGUAACUGUCGCACCCACUCGGGAAUUGGCCAUUCAAAUUCACCGGGAGGCGUGUAAAUUCUCCUACAAUUCGGUUUUAAAAUCUGUGAAUAUAUAUGAAGGAACUGUCACGAGCCAUCAGCGGUCAAAUCUUCAAGCUGGGUGCAAUACUCUUGUCGCGACCGCGGGGCGACUCAAGGAUUUUCUCGACCGUGGAGUAUUUGACUUCACGGGGGUCAGGUUUAAAUUUUGGACGAAGCUGAUCGAAUGCUUGAUACGGGUUUCGGCCCCAAUAUUGGAAAAAUUGUCAACCAUCCAACGAAAGAAUCCGUCGUAUUUGUAUGUUUUCGGCUACAUUCCCAGAUGAAGUACAAGCGCUGGCUGCGACGUACAUGGAAGACGACAUAUUCGUCACAACAGGCGUUGUCGGUGGCACCAAUCCGGAUGUGGAACAGCUGUUUUUUCAGUGCACAAAAGAGAUAAGAGAGCUAAGCUGAUCGAAAUUUUACAAGAUCUCGGUGAUGCCAAGACUAUCGUUUUUGUCGACAGCAAAAAGGCGGUGGAUUUCGUCGCUGCAUUUUUCUGCAAUAACAACUUACAAUCUACCAGCAUCCAUGGUGAUCGUCUUCAGAGUCAGCGUGAGCAAGCGCUUCGUGACUUCAAAAAUGGUAUUAGGAAUAUUCUCGUGGCGACUAAUGUUGCUGCCUGUGAUAUUGCCGGCGUAAACAAAGUCGUAAAUUAUGACUUGCCAACUGAUAUUGAAAAGUAAAGUCCAUUGACUUUCUCUUUAGGCAAAAUAGUCCUAAUUAUUUUCACUUUCGUGAUCUAAAUGAACUUAAGAGGUGAGAAUCACCAAAUAAAAGCUAUUCAACCCACUUCUCUUUCUACGGCUGAUUGCAUCAUCCGACCCUGUUAAGGGAUUGCGUCACCGGCGUCACACGGGCAUUUCUUUUUUUCUUUUCAAUUUAGGCACUUAUCACGAAGUCUUUACGUCGUUUGAACAUGGUGAUCCAAACAGCUUGCCUCCUUCUUUUCUUUGUGUCCCUAUUGAAUUCUGCAGAGAUCCUACGUGAGUGUGAUACGGAUAUCGACUGUGAGUCGGGUUAUUAUUGUUUCCUCUCGUAUUGUGAACGAUGCAUUCCCUGCGAUACCCAUUUCAAUCGCCAACCGGUGCGAUCGUUGACCGGUCAACCUAUUUGUGCCAGAUACGAAGAUGAUUGUGGAGUUUGCCUACCAGAUAUCAAGCUAACGAAAUAACUCAUCAACGGCGAUCGAUGACAUGCUUCCUACUAAACGAAACGGUCUCGACGUCUACCGUUUUUGGUGGACGGGAAUCGUGUGGAUAGCGUCUGUUCUUUUUUUGACAGUGGCUUUCAUCGUCUGCUUCCUCAAAUGUCGUCGUGUACCAGCUGUUUCCAACAACAAGGAUCCCAGAUUGCUUCCGUCUGCUCCGCCCCUCUACUCCCUAUACGAUGCAAAAUUCACCAACGAAACGGAUGGCCUAGUUGUGUCGGAACCUGUUAGAUCCCCCGAACGGAUAGUGAUACAAGAAAACCAAGGACUUUGCAAUGAAGCUAUUCCAGCCGGCUACUACGACAUUUUCAACAAUCGUCUACACGAUUCGGAUGUAGAACCGGAAGAAGGGGCUCGUGUUUCAAUUCACGUAGCCGUUGAUUCUGAAGUCGAUGAUUAAUCUAAUCAAUCAACUGAGACCAUUCCGUCACCUUGGGAACCGACGUCUUCGAUGUCGGACAUAUCCAACAAUUUCUUUAGAAGUCUAUCAUUGGAAAGAGUACCUCGACCGGCAUCUACAAGUCAACUAGUCCGUUUGCCAAGCGAUAUGGAGAUCCUUUCGAGCAGAAGAAGAAUAGCUUCUGUUGGUGAAAGCCAUAGUCAUCGCACGUCCGCCUCAGCCAGUAUCGAUCGGAAUCACAAACAUCAAAUCAAACAGAAUCGCCAAGUCUAUGGCAGACAGUGAAUCUGAAGAUGAUUUAGGUCGUCGGGACUCUAGUUUGUCUGAAAGCUUUGAAGACGACCAAGAGCCAGAUGCGCCGGAAGCUUUCCUUGUGGUGAGCGAUGAUCCCAGUUUUCCAUCCGUCAUUCUGGAUGUGUCGUGGCCUCGUCAGUCAAGAGCUCUGCAGAGUGUCUCCCGUUUCCUUGGAUCCAUUUUGAGUGAGCCUUCCAGUGAUCAAGGUUCGCAGGAUUCCGGAUUUCAAGAUCAAUCCCGAAGACGUUCGAGAACUAAAGAAGAUUUAUUAGAAGAGAACCGCGUUGACCUUAGUGCAAAAAAGCGGCGCAGAAACUGCUCAGAGAACGAAUAACUCCAAAUUUCUUGAAGUGCCAUACACCUGUUAACUUUA